RNAcentral lists this ribosomal RNA (250 nucleotides) under uncultured prokaryote. RNAcentral describes it as "partial 16S ribosomal RNA". It matches the Rfam family "Bacterial small subunit ribosomal RNA", at positions 524 to 773 of the family's 1533-position model. The record is from RNAcentral.
UACGUAGGGGGCAAGCGUUAUCCGGAUUUACUGGGUGUAAAGGGAGCGUAGACGGCGAAGCAAGUCUGAUGUGAAAGGCAUGGGCUCAACCCGUGGACUGCAUUGGAAACUGUUUAGCUGGAGUGCCGGGGGGGUAAGCGGAAUUCCUAGUGCAGCGGUGAAAUGCGUAGAUAUUAGGAGGAACACCAGUGGCGAAGGCGGCUUACUGGACGGCAACUGACGUUGAGGCUCGAAAGCGUGGGGAGCAAAC